Molecule: ribosomal RNA, 681 nt
Filed under: uncultured Bacteroidales bacterium
Lineage: Bacteria; Pseudomonadati; Bacteroidota; Bacteroidia; Bacteroidales
Description: bacterial SSU rRNA
Rfam family: Bacterial small subunit ribosomal RNA
Source: RNAcentral
GAGGGGCAGCAUGGUCUUAGCUUGCUAAGGCCGAUGGCGACCGGCGCACGGGUGAGUAACACGUAUCCAACCUGCCGUCUACUCUUGGACAGCCUUCUGAAAGGAAGAUUAAUACAAGAUGGCAUCAUGAGUCCGCAUGUUCACAUGAUUAAAGGUAUUCCGGUAGACGAUGGGGAUGCGUUCCAUUAGAUAGUAGGCGGGGUAACGGCCCACCUAGUCUUCGAUGGAUAGGGGUUCUGAGAGGAAGGUCCCCCACAUUGGAACUGAGACACGGUCCAAACUCCUACGGGAGGCAGCAGUGAGGAAUAUUGGUCAAUGGGCGAGAGCUUGAACCAGCCAAGUAGCGUGAAGGAUGACUGCCCUAUGGGUUGUAAACUUCUUUUGUAAAGGAAUAAAGUCGGGUAUGGAUACCCGUUUGCAUGUACUUUAUGAAUAAGGAUCGGCUAACUCCGUGCCAGCAGCCGCGGUAAUACGGAGGAUCCGAGCGUUAUCCGGAUUUAUUGGGUUUAAAGGGAGCGUAGAUGGAUGUUUAAGUCAGUUGUGAAAGUUUGCGGCUCAACCGUAAAAUUGCAGUUGAUACUGGAUAUCUUGAGUGCAGUUGAGGCAGGCGGAAUUCGUGGUGUAGCGGUGAAAUGCUUAGAUAUCACGAAGACUCCGAUUGCGAAGGCAGCCUGCUAAGCU